This 639-nucleotide ribosomal RNA is filed under the name Triticum aestivum (bread wheat). RNAcentral's name for it is "partial small subunit ribosomal RNA". Lineage: Eukaryota; Viridiplantae; Streptophyta; Magnoliopsida; Poales; Poaceae. The record is from RNAcentral.
AUGGGAUGGGCCGCGCGGUUCCUGACUGCGGUCUCAUUCCUCGCCUUGGGCGUCCUCUUCGCGCCGGACGCGCUCUUCGGCGGCGCCCCCGGCCGCCCAGCCGCCGGCGUCGCGGCGGCGAGGCUGGCCCAUGUACUCUGCUUCGCCACCGCAUGGGGGGCCGCGCUCUGGGUCACCUUCAUCGGCGGCAUCGUCAUGUUCAAGCAUUUGCCAAGGCACCAGUUCGGGAGUCUGCAGGGGAAGAUGUUCCCAGCAUACUUCAUGUUGAUAUCGGUGUGUUCAGCUAUAUCGGUUGCAGCAUUUGCAUACCUCAACCCAUGGAAGACAGCAUCAACUGUUGAGCGUUACCAGCUUGGUUUCCUUCUUGCUGCCCUCGGUUUUGACCUGUCCAACCUUCUGGUCUUCACCCCCAUGACUAUCGAGAUGAUGAUGAAGAGGCACAAGAUCGAGAAGGAUCUUGGCAUCGGUGGUGAGGUGGGACGGUCAAGGAAUGCCGAGUUGGCAAAGACAAACCCUGCACUCGCAGCGAUGAACAAGAAGUUCGGGAUGAUCCACGGGCUGUCGUCCCUGGCAAACAUCAUGGCAUUCGGCAGCCUGGCCAUGCACUCGUGGUACCUAGCGAGCAAGCUUGAGUUGUGA